CAGCCGCCGCGGUAAGACAGAGGAUGCAAGCGUUAUCCGGAAUGAUUGGGCGUAAAGGGCUCGCAGGCGGUUUCUUAAGUCUGAUGUGAGAGCCCCCGGCUCAACCGGGGAGGGUCAUUGGAAACUGGGAAACUUGAGUGCAGAAGAGGAGAGUGGAAUUCCACGUGUAGCGGUGAAAUGCGUAGAGAUGUGGAGGAACACCAGUGGCGAAGGCGACUCUCUGGUCUGUAACUGACGCUGAGGAGCGAAAGCGUGGGGAGCGAACAGGAUUAGAUACCCCUGUAGUCCCUGUCUCUUAUAC
Molecule: ribosomal RNA, 301 nt
Filed under: uncultured bacterium
Lineage: Bacteria
Description: partial 16S ribosomal RNA
Rfam family: Bacterial small subunit ribosomal RNA
Source: RNAcentral